Molecule: ribosomal RNA, 229 nt
Filed under: Bacillus thuringiensis serovar pingluonsis
Lineage: Bacteria; Bacillati; Bacillota; Bacilli; Caryophanales; Bacillaceae
Description: partial 16S ribosomal RNA
Rfam family: Bacterial small subunit ribosomal RNA
Source: RNAcentral
UUUAUUGGAGAGUUUGAUCCUGGCUCAGGAUGAACGCUGGCGGCGUGCCUAAUACAUGCAAGUCGAGCGAAUGGAUUAAGAGCUUGCUCUUAUGAAGUUAGCGGCGGACGGGUGAGUAACACGUGGGUAACCUGCCUAUGAGACUGGGAUAACUCCGGGAAACCGGGGCUAAUACCGGAUAACAUUUUGAACCGCAUGGUUCGAAAUUGAAAGGCGGCUUCGGCUGUCA